Molecule: RNA transcript, 1613 nt
Organism: Zea mays
Lineage: Eukaryota; Viridiplantae; Streptophyta; Magnoliopsida; Poales; Poaceae
Exons: 3
Source: RefSeq, marked provisional
CUCAACUCAAUCUAGACGGUCAGACCCAAUAAACACCCGAGUCCCAAAUAGAUCUGUACAAACGUUAGGUCGAUUUCGGGUUAUGGGUCGUGCUCGUAUCUAACAUGUGUCUAAUGUUGGGUCAGGUCAGCUUGUGCUCUCUGGUUGACGUGUUGGCUCGGAUUUUUUCGGUUCGGUCGGAUUUUUUUUAUUUGAGUAGAUUUUUUUAGAUUAGGUUAGGUUUUAGGUCAAAAAUCGUAACUCAUAUCUGUAAAUUAUUGCGGAUCAAGAAUUUGAGUUGUAUUGGUUGGAUGAGAUCGGGGUUAGUCCCGAAAUUAGCAGCCGGCAUACACGAGAGAUACGACCAGCGGUCAGCCCCCUUUCGGCCUUUCCCUCCCAUAUACUCGCCGUCGGCCAGCGGAUCUAAUCGGGGCGGGCGCGAUGGCUGGGCAGAACCAGCGGCUCAACGUCGUGCCGACGGUGACGAUGCUCGGCGUCAUGAAGGCUCGGCUCGUCGGCGCGACCCGCGGCCACGCGCUGCUGAAGAAGAAGUCCGACGCGCUGACGGUCCAGUUCCGCGCCAUCCUCAAGAAGAUCGUCGCCGCCAAGGAGUCGAUGGGCGAGACGAUGCGCGCCUCCUCCUUCUCCCUCGCCGAGGCCAAGUACGUCGCUGGCGACGGCGUCCGCCACGUCAUCCUCCAGUCCGUCCGCGCGGCAUCCGUCCGCGUCCGCUCCCACCAGGAGAACGUGGCCGGGGUCAAGCUCCCCAAGUUCACCCACUUCGUCGACCCCGCCGCGGCCUCCGGGGGCCCCUCCAACGCGUCCCCGAGCCUCACGGGCCUGGCCCGCGGCGGGCAGCAGGUCGCCGCCUGCCGCUCCGCGCACGUCAAGGCCAUCGAGGUGCUCGUCGAGCUCGCAUCUCUGCAAACCUCCUUCCUCACUCUCGACGAGGCCAUCAAGACCACCAACCGCCGCGUCAACGCGCUCGAGAACGUCGUCAAGCCCAGGAUCGAGAACACCAUCAGCUACAUCAAGGGGGAGCUCGACGAGCUCGAGCGCGAGGACUUCUUCAGGCUCAAGAAGAUCCAGGGCUACAAGAAGAGGGAGAUCGAGCGCCAGAUGGCCGCCGCCAGGCUAUUUGCGGAGGAACAGCUUGCCGAGGAUCUCGCGCUUAAGAGGGGUAUCUCCGUGGGGGCUGCGGCAAACCUGCUGGUUGCUGGUGGGGAGAAGGACGACGACAUCAUCUUCUGACCACUCCUUCCAUGGCCAUCCAGUCAUUCAAUCGAUUAUCAUUUUAUCUUAAAAUGCUGAAGACUGGCCAUUGGAAUUUAAUUGGCAGAAACAAUAAGUUGAUGCUGGAGCUCCAGAAUUGUAUCUGUUUAUAGAAUGAUGGAGAUUUUGAUUCAGUAAUCUGGAGUCUAGCCAUCCGAGAUCCUCAAUAAUCUGUACCUGGAAACCAAACAGUGCCAAGUAACUUUUACGGAGCGUUAUGUGCAGCUCGUGUAGAAAAUUCAAUUGAACCGUAUUUCCUGUCGUGUACCUUCCAGUACCGUAUUAUAUUAUAUAUUUAUUAUUCAAUUGGACCUGCACUCAGAAGUUGCAGUCUGGGACGUAUUUGCUUUUGCAUUUUAUAA